Molecule: long non-coding RNA, 321 nt
Filed under: Malus domestica (apple)
Lineage: Eukaryota; Viridiplantae; Streptophyta; Magnoliopsida; Rosales; Rosaceae
Description: long non-coding RNA (MDOM_LNC001569)
Source: RNAcentral
GUGGUUUCAAAGCCACGCAGAAAUCGCAGAAGUGUCUUCUCCCCAAACACUCUACAGAAACUCCUCUUUCUCUCCCCUAUUUCUAACUUUCUCCUUUUCAAAAAUUAAACCCUCUCUCCACCCGUCAAAAACCAAAACCACCACACACCUCCUCUCUUUCAUAUAUCACUACCUUUCCUAAUUGUCCAAAUUUUCUUAACAUGCUCUCUUUCCUCAUCAGCUUCAUCCUUCUCUUUACGACCACCACCAAUGCCACCAUCACUACUUCCGAACGACUCAGGGAAGCGCUCGCCACCGCAACCACUCAACGAUUCAAGGAAG